GUCUUUCCGGGGACAUCGAUAAAAUUAGAACGAUAUAGAGAAGAUUAGCAUGGCCCCUGUGCAAGGAUAACACUCACAAAUCGAGAAAAGGUCCAUAUUCCA
Molecule: small nuclear RNA, 102 nt
Filed under: Marchantia polymorpha subsp. ruderalis
Lineage: Eukaryota; Viridiplantae; Streptophyta; Marchantiopsida; Marchantiales; Marchantiaceae
Source: RNAcentral